Molecule: ribosomal RNA, 365 nt
Filed under: uncultured Desulfovibrio sp.
Lineage: Bacteria; Pseudomonadati; Thermodesulfobacteriota; Desulfovibrionia; Desulfovibrionales; Desulfovibrionaceae
Description: bacterial SSU rRNA
Rfam family: Bacterial small subunit ribosomal RNA
Source: RNAcentral
GGGGAAGUUCCGAGACAGGUGCUGCAUGGCUGUCGUCAGCUCGUGCCGUGAGGUGUUGGGUUUAAGGUCCCGCAACGAGCGCAACCCCUAUUGCCAGUUGCUACCAGGUAAUGCUGGGCACUCUGGUGAGACUGCCCCGGUUAACGGGGAGGAAGGUGGGGACGACGUCAAGUCAUCAUGGCCCUUACGCCUAGGGCUACACACGUACUACAAUGGCGCAUACAAAGGGCAGCGAUACCGCGAGGUGGAGCCAAUCCCAAAAAGUGCGUCCCAGUCCGGAUUGCGGUCUGCAACUCGACUGCAUGAAGUUGGAAUCGCUAGUAAUUCGAGAUCAGCAUGCUCGGGUGAAUGCGUUCCCGGGCCUU